CGUAUCCUUUUCAGUUUGUUCUUCAUUAUUCUAAUUUACUUCCUCAACCAGAUAAUGGGGUCGGUUCAUCUUCAGCUGCUUUCCAUUCCCUUGUCUGGCUAUUAUUUUUUGAUAUUGGAGACUGCUAAAUUUGUCUGUUAUUUUCGGUUAUGUCCUUAGGUCCUAGACACCCAUUUUACCAGCUGAAGAGGUCAAACCUGCUUUUGACUGUCAACAUGAAGGUGUUACUUUAAAUUGAUCAUCUCCAGGCCGUGGCAAGAAGAAUGGAGCAGAGUGAAUACCUUGAUGGCUGGUCUUUGGAACGAAAUCAUGUAUCAAUUGUUGCCGAAUAAUUUAGUUGAAUGGUUGGUGUUAAGGAGAAAGAGCCUUAGCUAAGCUUGAACAACUUUCCAGCGCACAUAGAUCACCCGAUUUGAAUCUUGCAUUCGUGCUCACUUUUGUGCUUCUAAACAAAAUGAUUAGCGGUUCCUCCCACCUUGUUUUGUUUUUGUUUGUACAGUUUAUUAAUUUGUCCGAUGCUAGAUUAAGACGGGGCUUGCCAAGUGCAAACCCUGAAGCACCGCUGCACUUAAUUA
Molecule: long non-coding RNA, 575 nt
Organism: Lolium rigidum
Lineage: Eukaryota; Viridiplantae; Streptophyta; Magnoliopsida; Poales; Poaceae
Exons: 2
Source: RefSeq, a predicted model, not a curated record